AGGUGCUGCAUGGCUGUCGUCAGCUCGUGUCGUGAGAUGUUGGUUAAGUCCCGCAACGAGCGCAACCCUUGUCGUAUGUUGCCAGCACGUUAUGGUGGGAACUCAUGCGAGACUGCCGGUGUCAACCGGAGGAAGGUGGGAUGACGUCAAGUCAUCAUGCCCCUUAUGCCCUGGGCUGCACACGUGCUACAAUGGCUGGCACAAUGGGCUGCGAAACCGCGAGGUAGAGCGAAUCCCACAAAGCCAGUCUAAGUUCGGAUUGAAGGCUGAAACUCGCCUUCAUGAAGUCGGAGUCGCUAGUAAUCGCGAAUCAGCACGUCGCGGUGAAUACGUUCCCGGGCCUU
This 344-nucleotide ribosomal RNA is filed under the name uncultured Actinomycetes bacterium. Its description in RNAcentral is "bacterial SSU rRNA". It matches the Rfam family "Bacterial small subunit ribosomal RNA", at positions 1036 to 1382 of the family's 1533-position model. Lineage: Bacteria; Bacillati; Actinomycetota; Actinomycetes. The record is from RNAcentral.